RNAcentral lists this ribosomal RNA (1071 nucleotides) under uncultured marine microorganism. RNAcentral describes it as "bacterial SSU rRNA". It matches the Rfam family "Bacterial small subunit ribosomal RNA", at positions 8 to 1067 of the family's 1533-position model. The record is from RNAcentral.
AGGGUUUGAUUCUGGCUCAGAUUGAACGCUGGCAGCAUGCUUUACACAUGCAAGUCGAACGGCAGCAUAGAGAGCUUGCUCUCUGAUGGCGAGUGGCGAACGGGUGAGUAAUGCAUCGGAACAUGUCUUUGAGUGGGGGAUAGCUCGGCGAAAGCCGGAUUAAUACCGCAUAGUCUCUUCGGAGUAAAGUGGGGGACCCUCGGGCCUCAUGCUUAAAGAGUGGCCGAUGUCGGAUUAGCUUGUUGGUGAGGUAAUGGCUCACCAAGGCUACGAUCCGUAACUGGUCUGAGAGGAUGAUCAGUCACACUGGAACUGAGACACGGUCCAGACUCCUACGGGAGGCAGCAGUGGGGAAUUUUGGACAAUGGGGGAAACCCUGAUCCAGCGAUGCUGCGUGCGGGAAGAAGGCCUUAGGGUUGUAAACCGCUUUCAGCUAGGAAGAAAAGAUUAUAGUUAAUAUCUAUAAUUUAUGACGGUACUAGCAGAAGAAGCACCGGCUAACUACGUGCCAGCAGCCGCGGUAAUACGUAGGGUGCAAGCGUUAAUCGGAAUUACUGGGCGUAAAGAGUGCGCAGGCGGCUCUUUAAGACAGGUGUGAAAUCCCCGAGCUCAACUUGGGAAUUGCGCUUGUGACUGGAGAGCUAGAGUGCAGAAGAGGGGGAUAGAAUUCCUGGUGUAGCAGUGAAAUGCGUAGAUAUCAGGAGGAAUACCGAUGGCGAAGGCAGUCCCCUGGGCUAGCACUGACGCUCAUGCACGAAAGCGUGGGGAGCAAACAGGAUUAGAUACCCUGGUAGUCCACGCCCUAAACGAUGUCAACUAGUUGUUGGAAGAGGAGACUCUUUUAGUAACGAAGCUAACGCGUGAAGUUGACCGCCUGGGGAGUACGGUCGCAAGAUUAAAACUCAAAGGAAUUGACGGGGACCCGCACAAGCGGUGGAUGAUGUGGAUUAAUUCGAUGCAACGCGAAAAACCUUACCUACCCUUGACAUGUGCAGAACUUUAUAGAGAUAUAUUGGUGCCCGAAAGGGAGCUGCAACACAGGUGCUGCAUGGCUGUCGUCAGCUCGUGUCA